Molecule: unclassified non-coding RNA, 506 nt
Filed under: Talaromyces muroii
Lineage: Eukaryota; Fungi; Ascomycota; Eurotiomycetes; Eurotiales; Trichocomaceae
Description: partial contains ITS 1, 5.8S rDNA and ITS 2
Rfam family: 5.8S ribosomal RNA (bases 167-320)
Source: RNAcentral
CCCCUGUGGCCCAACCUCCCACCCUUGUCGUUUAUAACCUGUUGCUUUGGCGGGCCCACCGGGGCCACCUGGUCGCCGGGGGACAUCGUUCCCGGGCCCGUGCCCGCCGAAGCGCCCCUAGAACUCUGGUGAAGCUAGGCUGUCUGAGUCUUAUGAAAAUAGUUAAAACUUUCAACAAUGGAUCUCUUGGUUCCGGCAUCGAUGAAGAACGCAGCGAAAUGCGAUAAGUAAUGUGAAUUGCAGAAUUCCGUGAAUCAUCGAAUCUUUGAACGCACAUUGCGCCCCCUGGCAUUCCGGGGGGCAUGCCUGUCCGAGCGUCAUUUCUGCCCUCAAGCGCGGCUUGUGUGUUGGGUGUGGUCCCCCCGGGGACCUGCCCGAAAGGCAGCGGCGACGUCCGUCGGGUCCUCGAGCGCAUCGGGCUUUGUCACUCGCUCGGGAGGGACCCGCGGGGGUUGGUCACCAUCACCAUUUUUGCCACGGUUGACCUCGGAUCAGGUAGGAAGUAA